This 2426-nucleotide long non-coding RNA is filed under the name Brassica napus (rape). RNAcentral describes it as "long non-coding RNA (BNAP_LNC006814)". Lineage: Eukaryota; Viridiplantae; Streptophyta; Magnoliopsida; Brassicales; Brassicaceae. The record is from RNAcentral.
GUUUUGGGCCUCCAUCUCUAAUCUCUUUCGCUCCAGCAAGAGCUCUGAUGGGGCGAUAAACAUGACGAGGACGAGGAGCUAAACGUGCUGAGGAAGAUAAAUAUGAUAGAAUCAGCAAGGUUUAAUCAUGACGUACUUGUGUAUUCUCUCAGCCACUGCUCUAAGAUGAAGAAGUCUCUUCUGUUACUGUCCUUAUCCAGCAACAGCUUUACGGAUUUUUCAGAAGCCAUGAAAGCGUUGCAGAAACCUCUCCACUCUGUUGCGACAAUGCAAAAAAGUUUCAGCAAACAUGGUGAUUCUGCUCGGCAAAAGUGGUGCGAUGAGGACUGGAGAUCAACUCUUCUCGAUCCAUAGCUUUCCAUCUCGCAUCUGGUCAUAAAUAAAAAUCAAAGAGAUCGCAGAGAACUCAUCUAUCCAGAGACUUCACUUCUCGGCUUGAGCUUUACGUUCAGACUGGUUCGUCGUAAUCUCAAGACUGGUCUUGGUGUAACCUCAGCAAGUACACUACCUCGGCAAAAGCGGGGAGCAGUUGGCGUGAUCUCCUCAAAACGCCCAUCUUGAGAUCAUGUUCAUCAUCCUCGUAGCUGUUGCCAUGACAGACAAAUAAAUCUGAUGAGAUAAGUUUUCUCAUCUACUUAGUUAAUUGUUUACGUCAUAUAUCACCGCUUUAUACUUUGUGAUAGAACAAAAUCUUCACUUAAUAUUUUGUUAGUAAGGUUGAUACUAAACGUGAUCUCCCAUAUUAAUAAUUUAUAUGCUUGCUUGUGUCUUAAGACACACAAUUUUCAAUACGAGAUCAAAUUAAUUAAGUUUAAUUUUCUCUGUAUAGUAGAAUGAAGUGCUUUUGUACGUGGAGCAAAUACAGGAGGUCACAACUUUUCUUGUAUCCUGUCUCAGCAUGAACAAAUUCAUAUUGUCAUCGCACAGACGAGAUACAAGCACUCUUCUCUUACACAAGCGAAGUGGAGAAGAUGAAGAAUAUGAGACCUUCUUUGCAACUGGCGCCAACUAGAUCACAGUUCUCACAACUCUUGGCGACUUGCCAAUCACGAGCUCGCACUCACCACACCAGUGAGACCACGGCAGUCUAGUUUCGAUCUCAGCAAACAUCUUCUAUGCCGACUACACCAGUCACGGCAAUGCGCGGAUCAACAAAACAACUUGCUCGGCACACACGAUCUCAACACGAGACUUCGGGUUCGGUAAACUGGUACCUUAGGCACGAAUUUAAAUUGAACUUGCUUGUUAUUAGGCACAAAUUUGCAAUCGACUCGCUUAUCAUUAGACACGAGUUUACAAAAACUCGUCUUUGGCUAGGCAUGAGUUUAUAGAGACUCUCCUUCUACUAGGCACGAGCUCUCAAUAAACUCGCCUCCGUCUCAGCAUGAGUUUAGUAAGCUCGUCUUUCGCUAAGCACGAGUUUAAAGCAAAUUUGCUUUUUAUUAAGCACAAGUUCAAAGUAAACUCGCCUAAAUCAUCAUAGGCAGGAAUGUGUCUAAUUAAUUGUCUAAUAAACCCUAUUCGUAAAAUUCAUAAAGAUCGACUUCAUCUCUCUCUACGAACUUGGGGGGCUUACUGUUGGGGGUGGAUUUACAUCCUUCCUCAAGGCCCAUUAGACACUUAAUUAGACCCACUUCCUUAUGAAACCCUAGCCAUCUUUAUUCUAUAAAUAAGAAACUAUCUCUUUAUUAGUGGUGGUCCUCUCCAUUUUUACACUAAGAACACAUCUUGUAAAGAGUUUAUGGAUUAUUAGAUUUACUUUACACUAGUAAUCAUACUUGUAAUACAAUCUUUGAUCAAUAAACUCUUUUAUGUUCAUUUCCCAUUUGAUUUCAUCUAAAGAUUUUAUCUUAAACCUCAAGAAUCUAAUUCUCAUUCUUAGAUUCUUUUAUUGUAUUGAUUCAACCAAAACCACCAGUAUAAACACCAUUUUUGGAUCAAACAAAAAGGUUAAAAAUUCUAAUUGAUUAACGAAGAUGAUGAUUAUUUUAGAAGCAAUUUAUUCGAAACCACAUCAUAAUUAUUACUUGAUUGGUCACAGUCCACCAUAAUUAUGUAGAUCAAAAUGACGUAAAUCAAAAUCAUCAAUGAUUUUUAUAAGCUAGUUAUUAAUCAUUUUUGGGAAUGCAGUUUUUAGCAGAGGCGAUCUUGAUGGGUUUGCUUUUGAGGACAGGAUUUUGUUCGAAAAAGUUGGUAGGUCGGAGUUCAAAGCCACCGGAUAAUGUAGGCAUCGUUGGGAAAUCUUCUUGGCUUGGGACAUGGUGGAAUCCGAUGGUGUACCACAUCACUAUAUCUUUAUUCUCUAUUUCUCUAUUCCUGUCACAUUCGGUUACACAUAACGUUUAGUCCCACAAUUUUUUUUAAAAAAGACGUAACAAUUUCUCUUCUAAAUACAAAAUAUACGUACCUUAAACUUUACAUCUAAC